This is a non-coding RNA of Cinara cedri, 1338 nucleotides long. The record is from the annotation of a GenBank genome assembly. NCBI's taxonomy places the organism in Eukaryota, Metazoa, Arthropoda, Insecta, Hemiptera, Aphididae.
CUGAUAGUUAUGUAUGUGGGCGAAAUGAUCCGUUACACUUCCUCGGAUCUUUUGAAAUGUGGUUCUACGAUAAUAUUAUUAUUAUGACGGUUUUCUUCGGCUAUUGCCUGUAUAGACAAACAGCAAGCUCGACAAUUGUUACAAUUCAUUCUGUUUUCAUAUUCUAUUGAUAAUAUUUUUCGCACCUUGCUGUUAGCUACAAGUUAUGUAACUUUAGUUACAAAAUACUGACAAAGUGCUGCACUCUAUACCAUUACGGCUAUGCUCUGUACACAUUGAUUUUGUAUAGCGGUACGGAAUUUUAAUACAAUGAUAGAGGCCGCGCGCUGUGCUUUCCGCAAUUUUCUGUAAUAUUAUAAUCAUUACGAAGACGUAAUACCUAUGCAUGUGUAAUGUAACGUCUCCGUCUUACAAACGUACGACGUAACAAAUGCACGUUCAACAGGGCCAACUUGUACUGUUAGUUUUAAAUGAAUUGGCCUGUUAGGAAACUUAAAGGUAUAAACACUAUAUGUGAGACCACGUAGGUUUUUUCGAUAUUUUGAAACGAACUAUUGGUAUGGGAUAUAUCACAAUAUUUAAAAAUGUUUGCAGGUAUCUCGCUAAAAACUCUUCUUCUUGUCUUCAAACGUUUGAUUAGUUUGCUGCAGUUCACCGCGCUUCCCUUUCUAUACUUGAUUCCUCCAACCCCUUGUAACUACCGUUCGUGUGUGUCUUCUAUGACGCAUUUCGUCAAGCUAUCGUGAAGCAAUAUAUCUAUCAUUUUUUCCCUUUUUGACUUUUAUACUAUGCCAAAGUUUUUUUUUAGAUUCUUCUUCGUUUGUUAGUCUUUUUAUCCAUUUAACUUUAAACAUUUUUCGUUGACAUUACAUUUCAAAAGCCUAGAUUUCGUUUGUUAUCCAUAAAGAUUGUUCAAGUUUCGCAGUCACACUAAUCCACACUCUACGCAUACACUUUCAAGAACUUUUUCCCACCUAGUAAGGUCACACUUUUAGUGGUCAAUAAAUGAUUUUUGCACUGAAAAGCCCUCUUUGCGUGCGUUAUCCUGCUAACUAACGUCUGCGUACUUCAACCAUUUUCUGCUAUUUUACUUCCUAAAUAAUUCGCAGCAAACGAAUGGCGUCCCAACGUAAAAACAUUAUUUUUCUUCCCGUUUUAUACAGACUUAUCGGGACCAUCAAAUGCAACUUAUUACUAUUGGCGGGUUAAAAAUACUGAUUUCGGUCGCUGUUACGCAAUUAAAAGUUUAAAUAAUUUCGCUAUAGAUUAUUGCUCAGUUUUUUUCUGUUAAAUAAUUCAACAGAAUUUUUAAUAUGAUUAUGACCGUGUGCACAUUCU